RNAcentral lists this ribosomal RNA (173 nucleotides) under Exerodonta perkinsi (Perkins' treefrog). Its description in RNAcentral is "partial 16S ribosomal RNA". Lineage: Eukaryota; Metazoa; Chordata; Amphibia; Anura; Hylidae. The record is from RNAcentral.
ACGUGAUCUGAGUUCAGACCGGAGUAAUCCAGGUCAGUUUCUAUCUAUAAAGGGCUUUUUCUAGUACGAAAGGACCGAAAAAGCACGGCCUAUGUCUUACGCAAGCCGAAUUCACUAAUUUAUGACUUAAACUUAAUAAUAAAUUGACCUAUUACCCACCUCUAGAGAAGAGU